GUUGAUUCUUGAUUGUUAAGCUACGUAUCGGAGCAUUGCAGAGUUUCAUAUUCAAGAACGAAGAUAGGAUCAGGCAAUCAGAAUCGUUCGUAGUCUAUCUUUAACUAGCGACUAGGGAUGAUGAACAUCACAUUUCAGUACUAUGAGGAAUCAAGGUCUUUGGUUCUGGGGGGAGUAUGUCGCAAGACUGAAACUUAAAGAAAUUGACGGAAGGCACAACGGGGAGUGGAGCCUGCGGCUUAAUUUGACUCAACACGGGAAACUUACCAGGUACAGACAUAGUAAGGGAUUGACAGAUUGAUAGCUCUUUCUUGAUUCUGUGGUGCUGUGCGUGACGUUCUUAGUUGGUGGAGUGAUUUGUCUGGUUAAUUCCGAUAACGAACGAGACCUUAACCUGCUAACUAGAUAUUUUCAUUUUAUGAAUAUAUCUUCUUAGAGGGACUAUAUGCUUUAAGUAUAAGGAAGUAUGAGGCAAUAACAGGUCUGUGAUGCCCCUUAUAUGUCCUGGGCUGCACGCGUGCUACACUGAUAUAUACAACAAGUGCCUAGCUAGAUAUAGUAUGGCAAUCUCGAAUAUAUAUCGUGAUGGGGAUAGAUCUUUGCAAUAUAGAUCUUGAACGAGGAAUUCCUAGUAAGUGCAAGUCAUCAUCUUGCAUUGAUUAUGUCCCUGCCCUGGGGGAGACACCGCCCGUCGCUCCUACCGAUACCGGGUGAUCCGGUGAACCUGUUGGACCCUUGGGAAAAAUAAGUAAUUCAUAUCACCUAAGGAAGGAGAAGUCGUACAAUAAUCGCUCCCUUCCCCGUCUCG
Molecule: ribosomal RNA, 808 nt
Filed under: uncultured rumen protozoa
Lineage: Eukaryota
Description: bacterial SSU rRNA
Rfam family: Eukaryotic small subunit ribosomal RNA
Source: RNAcentral